Molecule: long non-coding RNA, 871 nt
Organism: Anthonomus grandis grandis
Lineage: Eukaryota; Metazoa; Arthropoda; Insecta; Coleoptera; Curculionidae
Exons: 2
Source: RefSeq, a predicted model, not a curated record
AGCUACCUAAAAUAAAAUAUUUCUUGGACCGGAAUAUGCGGGAGUGACAUGUUUUGCAUAUAAUCAAAAGCUAGUCCCAUCACUUCUGGUCGUUCAGUACAAAGGGUUUGCACUUCUUUAAUUUUGUUAUAAAACUUUUUCGCCCGCCUUUUAUGAACUAUUAGUUCAGCUGAAACCACUGUCUUUGCGUUAUCGUUAAGGUUAACAUCUUUAAGCCUCGUUCCAUGUCUUUCGCAUUCCGAACAUACAUCAACCUGGGGUCUUCCGAACUUCAAAUAGAAGUUUUCGUUGAAAUACUUUAAAUAGAAUUCGUAUUUAACUAAGUUUUCCAACUCUGGAUAUUUUUCGACAAAAAGGCUAUGCAUUUUCUUUACAGUCAAAGAUGCAUCUAAAUAACGUACGGUUUUGGAGGAAUAAUGUGAAACUUUGACCGGAAACGCCUGAAUGUGCUCUUUAAUUUUUUGAGUCCAUUCAUCGCAUAAUGUACGAGGUCUAUUAUUAUGCCUACCUCUAAGAUCGUUUGAUGAUUUACCUGCCAAAAGUAGGGUGUUCAGGCGCUGAACUUGCCAGUGCGAUAUGGCGUGAAGACUUAUAAAUGCUUGUUUGCAUACGGAAAUUCUAUUUGAGCCUUUUAAGACAAAGUACGAAAAGUUUGAUUUUCUUUCUUGUUUGUUUUCCGCACUUCUCACGCGAUUUCUCUCGAUUUGUUUAGCUUCCAUUAGUCCUUGUAAAUAGGUAAAUUAGUUAACACACUUUUUCUUUCUUCCUCAGUAAACUGUUCCAUGCAUUUCUUUGUACAACUAAAAAAUAAAACAGCUAUUUUGAUUUAAGCUCAACUUGUUGCUAAAAUUUACUAGCCUGACUUAUCCCU